Mytilus californianus (California mussel) is the source of this 1245-nucleotide long non-coding RNA. RefSeq lists it as uncharacterized. The transcript has 5 exons. NCBI's taxonomy places the organism in Eukaryota, Metazoa, Mollusca, Bivalvia, Mytilida, Mytilidae. The record is from RefSeq and is a predicted model, not a curated record.
UUAACUCAUCAGUUUGUGUGCUUAAAUCUGAAAAAUGUUGAACAAAUAUGUUGCAUCUGUUUUAUCCAUUAUUAUACUCGUAAUGCUAGGGCAAUUACAGAUUUGUUCAGGCGAAUGUUUAUUUUUGCAACAAUGUUUGGAAAAUAAAGGUGUAGACUUUUCUGGUUUAACGAUUUCGUUCAGCACAGAAUACAGCAUAAGAAAAAGCUGGGAAGCUUUCUGCGGAAGUGUCGACAAUCUGGUGGCAUGCUAUGAACCGAGUACACUUACAACUUGUCCUUCAAUAGCAGGUAUUAUUCCGUAUGUGCCAUCAAAAGUACAACUUAAAAGAUCAUAUCAACAAACAUGUGCCCAAAUAGACAGUUUGAUUGAGUUAACUAUUUGCUUUCAAAAAUCUGGAGUUGCAAAUAGUGUGUCAAACUGUUUCAAUAGCGUACUGAACGCGAUCUUAAGCAACCCUGAAAAGUAUGAUUCCGCUGGUUGUGGCGGCUCCGAGGAUCCAUUAUUAAAAUGUAUGAAAGAGGCGAUUCAGGGAAAAUGUAGCCAGAAAGCUAUUGACUUUGUGUCAACUCCACUAACAGUUAUGUGCUCGACAGGAACUAAAAUACUAGCACACAUAUCUACGUUAUUUUGUGUUUAUGUGUUUCUGCGCCUUUUCACUCAUUGACAAGUUUUAUAUAUAGAUAUAUACAGCAUGUUUCACGUCAAAGUUGCAACUUUCUUCGUUAAUUGCUUUUGAUUGUUUUUGUUAAGCCUUUUAAAGUUUUGACGAUGCUCUUGAGUGAGUUGUUUAUCUAUUUGGCUUCGCAAAAUUCACUACCACCGAGUCAGUAGUGCUGGUGUUGGACUACCAGUUCCCAGUGGUACAUGUACCAUGUAUCCAAUUUUAUUGUAUGUUAGUUACUGAUUAGGUUAUUGUACUGAUUUAAACUAUGAUUAAAACUAAGGGGAAAAUUCAAACAGCGGCGCACCCGGAUCCCAUCCCCAUAAAACGGGAAAAAUAUCAAUGUUGGGCAAAAAGCAUAUAAAAAUUGACUUCAAAAAGGCCGCGAUCCAAAUAACCUCAAAAUCCGUCAAUAAAAGAAAACCUAAGAUGUAUUUGACGUAAAACGUUUUUUUUUUUAAUUAUUUGGUUUCCAAACGUAAGAUGUCGAUCGCAUCUUAAAUACAAAAAUAGUGUACACGUAACAAGAUAUUGUUAAACAUUUGAUUAUUAUAAUAAAUAAAUUACAAGUUUUACAAAUG